GAUGAUAAAGAAGUUGUAGAUAUGGAUAAAUUCGAUGGUUGGACAACACUGAAUAUAUUGGAUGCCAUGGAACUGUACCUUUAAACAUGGUUAAAAUGGGAGCCAUGAAAUAUCUGAGCUGCGCAGGUGAUGCACAAGGAGACAGAAGCAGUAUGACCUUUACACAGUGACCUGACUCAAAUAAUUUCAGGCUGUCAUUAACCAGGCGAGCUCCGCUUUCUCUCUGAGGUAGGUAAACUUGAGGGGGUAAAGAGGGAGUUGGGGAAAAUGGAAAAGAAAGCCUGGUAGUAUUUCUUCUAACUCUGUCAUAAAUAAAAAGUAAAACAUAGAUGCCGUUUCUCAGGGCCCAAAUGUUAGGUGAAAAAAUGUCAUCUCAGUCAUGUGAUGUGGACUUCAGCCGAGCAGGACACACAUGGUCAUUUACCCUUUCCCUCUGCAUGUCGUGUGCUUUUUCAGUUUAUAAUGUACCUGAUCCACUUGUCUCAUCACACUAGCUGCAAACAAGGCCACUGAAUGUCACAGCAGGUGGCUGGCAUGUCUGUGAAGGGCAGAAACUGGGGCAGCCAAACAGCUGGCAGAGGCCAGCUAGGAAGUACCUGAUGCCCACUCCAUAGAGGACUCCACACUUAAAAGACAAGAUAAGAAAGUGUCAGGCUGCCUCACUAGUUAUCCCCCCAAAUAAAAAAAUAAAAGUAACCCCUCCAGGGAAUGUGUGUGUACACACAAAAGUACAUGCACACAGCUACAUGCAAACGGGAAAGGCUGGGAAGGAACCAAAUCCACCUCUGAACACCAGUUACUUGUGGGGAAGGGGCAGGUGAAGCCAACUGCCAGCAUUACUCACCUUUUCAACGGAUGAGCUUGCAUCAGUUUUGGCAAUUUCUCAUAAAAAGGCAAUUUUCACUCCUUGGGUGAUCACCCAGGCCCUGCAAAACUGAGCCACCAACAACCACCUGCACCACUUCCCAUGAGGCCAAAUAAUGGCUUCCCUCAAAGCUCAGCCCUCCCACACACCUCCCAGUCCUGUCCCAUGCAGGGGGCUGCUGGCCUCCUGGGGUACAUGGGUCCAGGCCAAACCCAACCCACAGAUGGUUGGUGAAACCAGCAUGUAUCCAAGGGCCUUUCCCCAACCUGGGUCAAGUGCCAACUGCCAACUGCAUAGAUAGGCCUGUGCUUGCUCCCCUAGGACAGAGACUCCCUUUUCUUCCAUUGGAAUGAGGGAUGGGGAGAUUUGAUGUCCUGUACAGGUUGGAUGUUAAUCUGAUGUGGUGCUGUUGGAGAAGCUUGCCUGAGUUAGGCGCCUUCUCAGCAUGUGGUGUGUGCUGCCCCUUCAAGCUGCAGGAGUCCCAGAAGGUAAGUGCUGCUGCAACCCCCAUUUACAGGUGAGCAGAGGUCAGGUGAUCUGCAGGCGGCCAAGCAAGUGCUAAGUGGCCAACAGGCUGGAUCUGCAUCUCACUUGCAGAGGCCCUGCCUGGCAGCUGGGGCUGCCCCGAGACUCCCUCCUCCUCCUCUUCCCUCCACAGCUCUCCCGGCUUCUAUCCACAGCUGUGCUCCAGGUGGGGAACACCUAUGGAUGCACCAGAGUGCAACUACUCAGACCCCAGUGUGCAGAAGGGCCCUGGCUCCAUGCCGUUUCCAUAUCCAAGCCCAAGCUCAUCUAGAGCUUCAGCAAAUCCAAGCCUCCCUGAAUUCCCUGCAAGACCAAACUGAGCCCUACAACUCCCACUACACUGGUUAGCUGCCAGCCCCAGCCUCUGCUCCUUCCUGGGCCCCUGUCGGCACAGUUCUGAAGUCCUACAAGAAUGUUGAGAUCCUAAGCCGACUCUCACCCAAGAGGUAAACAACCAGGGGCCUCCAGGGGUAGAGAACAUACCCAGACAGGUUCUGCUGCCUGUAGGCUUCAUGUCCUUCCCCUACAACACGCCAUGCUUGCCAGGCUGGAAGAGGGGCUCCAGAAACUUGGAAACCUGGGCCUGUAGCUGGCAUAUGGAAAAGAGGCCUGGAAAAGCACCACUCCUGUCCAUGAAGCCCCCAGAUGGAACCAGGUCCUGUUCAGAAACCCCAUCUGUGCCUUUGGAGAGACUGCCCCGAGCACACAGGCCCAGCAACCGCCAUCUAUGGCCCCCAGGACCUAAUCCCUUCUACAUAGGGUUCAGUGCAUGAACAGCAAGAGGACCUUGUGCAUGAAUAAUUUGUUUCCAUACUACAGAAAGAAUCCCAGACUUCUUAGAGAACCCAGUGACUUUUUGCACCUUAAAUCUGUGAAAUCCUCAUGUUUUCUUCUGCCGUAUCCAUAGUUCAAACAAAGAUGAGGCAAAGCUAGACGCAUUCCUGAAGGAACCCAAGAAAUUCCUCUCUUUCUCUCUCUGGAAUGAAAUGAAUUCUCUAGACCACCAGUUCUAACCUUCAAAAACCAAACCUGUUUGUGAGCUGUCCUUCAAAUACUACUGUAGACCCCAGUGUUUAUUCAUUAAAUUUUUUAAAUAUUUGUUUUAUUUGGAAUCAAAGUAUUUGUAAUUUUAGUAUUUGUAUUAAUAUCAGGGAGAAAUGUUUAAAUCUGUCUAUGCCAUAUGUGCCUCUGGCUUAUUGCCCAAUUAAUUGUAGCCUCAGGCUAAACUUUGGUUUCUGUCUUUAAUUUUUGUCAGAAGAAAUAUAACUGAUCUCAAAACAUCUGCUUUUAUUGUAGGGACUCGUGCUGCCGUCUCCAUUCUUCUCUCUUUUCUUGCAAUCUGGGUGGAAGUUCUUUAAUGUGAACAUUUCAACCACCUUCAUUCUACCAUGUCCACUAUGAGCACAUUCAAACUUAUCCAGCCAAGGGUAUCAUCUUAGGCCAGGGAUUUUUUAGGAAUCUAUUUUGCUGUGAUGCAGCUGGCACCCCUUUGACUCACUGUAUCACCCCAGGGUUCUUUUCAUUUCAGAAGCCCAAGAGGGCAGAAAAAGAAGUAGGUGAGCAAUUAAACACUCUGAGUCAGGAGCGUCUCCCCUUGUGUUAGGCAAUGUUGUAGAACAUCGUAUUUAGCAAGCUCCCAGCAGAUGAGCCACGUGGCUGCUGAGCACACACGCCUGCUUGCUGCUGUGAGCUCAGACACCAUCAUCAUGUCUUUUCCAUCUCUGGAGGGAAUUGUAAGGGCCACUUAAUAACCUGUAAAUCACAGAGAGUUAAAGGUGCUUCCCCAAAACACUGAUGACAGAAUGAACGGUGAGGAGUGUUAGCCACAGGUCAGAAGUGCAGGAAAGUCUCUCAGUGUGGGUUGUUGAAGAAAUGCAGGUCUUUUUUCUUUUGGAAGUCUCCCUAGAAUGCGGUCAAGGACUCUGCCCACUCUAGGAUGAAAAAUUGGGAUAUUAGACACCCUCAGAUAUUUAUCCCAAGCUUUCAUUUUGGGCUCUUAAUUAGUUCAUCCAUCACAAUCUCAAAUGCUAAGCAGGGCAGUUGAAUCUCUCCACAGUCCAAAUCAGCACCGUCUUUUAAAGUUGAGUUUCUUAUUAUUCUCACCUGGUAUACCUUAUUUAUCCCACACCCACCCCAAUAACAUAUCGUGCUCACUGUUGGGAGGACGUCAUGGAUGCAGGUGCAGGGGGAAGACCACGUGAGAGCACGGGAGGACGUCAGGGAUGUGAGUGCAGGGGGAGGACCACGUGAGGGCAUGGGAGGACGUCAUGGAUGCAAGUGCAGGGGGAGGACCAUGUGAGGGCACGGGAGGACGUCAGGGAUGUGAGUGCAGGGGGAGGACCACGUGAGAGCACGGGAGGAUGUCAGGGAUGUGAGUGCAGGGGGAGGACCACGUGAGGGCUCGGGAGGACGUCAGGGAUGUGAGUGCAGAGGGAGGACCACGUGAGGGCUCGGGAGGACGUCAGGGAUGUGAGUGCAGGGGGAGGACCACGUGAGGGCUCGGGAGGACGUCAGGGAUGUGAGUGCAGGGGGAGGACCACGUGAGGGCUCGGGAGGACGUCAGGGAUGUGAGUGCAGGGGGAGGACCACGUGAGGGCACGGGAGGACGUCAGGGAUGUGAGUGCAGAGGGAGGACCACGUGAGGGCUCGGGAGGACGUCAGGGAUGUGAGUGCAGGGGGAGGACCACGUGAGGGCACGGGAGGACGUCAGGGAUGUGAGUGCAGAGGGAGGACCACGUGAGGGCACGGGAGGACGUCAGGGAUGUGAGUGCAGGGGGAGGACCAUGUGAGGACAUAGGAGGAUGUCUGGGAUUCGAGUGCAGAGAGAGGACCACGUGAGACAUAGGAGGAUGUCCGGGAUUCGAGUGCAAAGGGAGGAACGUGUGAGGACAUGGGAGGAUGUCAGAUAUACGUGUGCAGAGGGAGGCCCACAUGAGAACAUGGGAGAAGAUGUCGUCUGCAAGCCAGGGAGAGGCCUCAGGAGGAGCAGCCCUGCCACACCUUGCUCUGGGACUGCCACCCUCCAGUACCCUAGGAGAACACAUUCCUGUUGGUGAAGCUGCCAAGGCCGUGCUGCAGCACCAGGGGCCUCUGGUUGACAGACUGCAGAGCAGCGAUGCCCGUGGUAGCCUCCACGUAAACUCUCUAGAAGGGUUUUGUUUUCUAUCCUCAUUUUUCCUGCCUUAUCUUUCAAGAGGCUUCCUUUGCCUUCACUUGUGUAGGUUCGUUUCUAAAUACAGAGAAGGAAUGCAGGCAAAGGAGUACCAAGCCAAGCCAUCUUUUUAAAAGAUAAAAAGGGCACAUUUUUCUUCCUUCCUGAGGAACUCAUACACCAAGUAUGCACAGAACACCUGUAAAUGGUAGAGGAUUCAGAUAUUUUGAAAGCACAAAACCUACUCUUGAAGAACACACAACUGCUGAGUGGUAACAAAGUUUUGGCCGCUAUAGCUGCUAAAAAUAGAGUUGUCAUAUUCUACAACUAAAAAUAAAGAAAUACAUCACUGAUCAAACACGCUUGAUGGCCUUCAUUUGCAUACGGUCGUGACAAGCCCGGUGGGAGGUGUAAGAAUGCUUGGGUGUUACCCUGCCCCUGAGGAGCUCAUGAAAGCGGUGUUCACAGCAUGCUGCAGUUGCUCACAUCGUAGUUCAUAAGGCAUUUUCUCACAUGCCACCUAAACUCUUCUGCGUGGCAGCUGGGGCAGGCACCACCUUUCUAUUUCUCAGGUGUGAAAACUGAGGGUCUCAAAGAGGCAAGCACUUGCCAAAGUCACGCAGCAAGCAAGGACAAAUGAGAGGGAGGCGUCUCCAACCAGGCGCAGGCUGACAGAUGUGGGCCCGUGAGCACCACUUACCCUCAGGUCUGUGAUAGGGGUCAGAUGGGUGACAGCCACAUGAGAGGCCGUCCUCUUGGGGUUGAGGAGAGAGGCCACUCUCCUCUGGGAUGGGCUUGAAAGAUGUCUCUGUACAGGGUGGGCAGAGAGGAGAGGGAGACCUUCUCAGAGCAGGGAGGUGCACGCUGUCACCAGGAGCUGGCCAAGAGGCUCACCAGAGCUGCGGUGGAGGCCGUGCAGACUGUGUGGCGGGGCUGGAACCUGGUUUCAUAGAAACAACAGGGAGAAAACAGAGUUGUGAGCUGGAGAGGUUCAUGGCCAGAUGAGCUGCACAGGUGGGUGGUGGGACCAAGGCCACAGUGGUCAGGAAAUGCUGUGAGGGGACAGUGAGGAAAGAGGAUGUCCCAGGGCCGUUCAUGCUUGUGACCACAAAGAAGAGAUGGCUGGGCCAGGCUCCCCCUUAGCAGGUCUGGUAGCAGUUAUGCAGGUGCGAUCAUCAGUUGAUUGAAGAGCUCUCGGGUGAAAAG
Molecule: long non-coding RNA, 5747 nt
Filed under: Homo sapiens (human)
Lineage: Eukaryota; Metazoa; Chordata; Mammalia; Primates; Hominidae
Description: HSALNT0000221
Source: RNAcentral